RNAcentral lists this ribosomal RNA (433 nucleotides) under uncultured bacterium. Its description in RNAcentral is "partial 16S ribosomal RNA". It matches the Rfam family "Bacterial small subunit ribosomal RNA", at positions 29 to 507 of the family's 1533-position model. The record is from RNAcentral.
AACGAACGCUGGCGGCAUGCCUAACACAUGCAAGUCGAACGAAACAUUCGGGUUUAGUGCCGCAUGGGUGGGUGACGGGUGGGGACAUGCCUUUAGGUUCGGAUGGACGUGCGGAAAGAGGUCCGAAUACCGGCUCUUGUACUCGGUACAAAGUUUGAAAGCCUUUGGGUGGGCUUGGGACGGAUUAGCAUGUUGGUAGGGUAAAUUGCUACAAAGGCGACGAGGCAUAGCUGGGUAGCGAGGAUGAUCAGCCACACUGGGACUGAGACACGGUCCAGACUCCUACGGGAGGCAGCAGUGGGGAAUAUUGGACAAUGGGCGAAAGGCAGAUCCAGCAAUGCCGCGUGAGUGAUGAAAGCCGGAGGGUUGUAAAGCUCGUUUACCCGUGAUGAUAAUGACAUUACCGGGAGAAUAAGCUCCGGCUAACUCCGUG